AUGUCAGAACAAUCUAAAGACAAGUCAGGGGAUGCAAGUAUAGAAAAAAUGUAUGAAAUUUUCAGUAAAUUGCUUGAGCAGCAGCAGCUUAAAGCAGUCCCAGAGACAGUUAAGUAUGCCCUGGAACCAAAUCCAGUGAGGUUGUCAGGUCCUGGCAACUAUGUUAGUUGGGCACGCCAUGCUCAAUUGAUACUGAGUUCCCAUGACUAUGAGUACCUGCUUGUUGAUGAUGAAGAAAAGCAGAAAAGUGGUGAUACUCACACAAGACAGAUCAAUGAUAGAGUUCUAGUAUGGCUGUUGGGAAGCAUGGAUCCAAUUGUGCGACAACAGGUCGAAAUAAUGUCAUCCGUGUCUGAAGUGUGGACCGCCUUGGAGAACCAAUUCGCUGGGAAAUCAAACAAAAUGCAGGCAACCCGCGUUAUGGAGGAAUUAACUCAUCUAAAUCAGGGCACAAAGUCUGUAACAGAGUAUGCUGGUGAAUUGAAACGGUUGUACAGGGACCUGCACUACUAUCAUCCUUUUCAAGCAGUUGACAAGAGAGAUCUAGCCAUUCAUCACAAAUGGUUUGAGACGAUUGUGGCCAAGCUGUUUCUAGAUGGACUAAACCAGGAGCUUAACCUUCGGCGACAACUUAUAUUCUCUCAACCAGAAUGGCCAAGUCUCGAUGAUAUUAUUUCCAGUGUGCUUGAGGAAGAAACUCGGUUGGCUCAACCUAAGGAGGAUGAUCUGAAAUGUGCAGAUGAUCGUGCGGCUUUAUCUAUGCAAUACCGCCGUACUCCCAGGCCCUUUGGCAAGAUAGACAAAAACAAGUUGCUUUGUGAUCAUUGUAAAAGAAAAGGACACACAAAGGAUGGAUGUUUUGAGCUGCAUGGAUAUCCAUCUUGGUGGGAAAAAGGAAAACCUCGGACAAGGGGAGUUCAAUGUGUGAAUAGAAGGCAAGCUAACCACACCACGUCUCUACGGGGGCCACCAGUGGUAGAUGUACGAGCUCUUGAGGAGUUCAACUCCAAGCUUAAACUCUCAGAAAGCUCAUCUUCCUCGCAAGGCACCUCUAAGGUUGAUUCCAAUCUAAUUGCCACUUCUCACCAAGGAGCUAGGGACUAG
Molecule: ribosomal RNA, 1104 nt
Filed under: Triticum aestivum (bread wheat)
Lineage: Eukaryota; Viridiplantae; Streptophyta; Magnoliopsida; Poales; Poaceae
Description: partial small subunit ribosomal RNA
Source: RNAcentral